RNAcentral lists this unclassified non-coding RNA (214 nucleotides) under Lactarius quietus. RNAcentral's name for it is "internal transribed spacer 1". Lineage: Eukaryota; Fungi; Basidiomycota; Agaricomycetes; Russulales; Russulaceae. The record is from RNAcentral.
UCGUACCAAAUGUGUCAGGCAUGCUUGGGCUGUUGCUGACUCAAAAAGUCGUGCACGCUGGAGGGUGUCCUCUCACAUAAUAAUCCAUCUCACCCUUUGUGCAUCACCGCGUGGGCACCCUUUGGGAUCGGACCGAUCUCGGAAGGGGGCCCGCGUUUUCACACAAACCCCCCCAUCUAAAAGUGUAGAAUGUCCUCAUUUAUGCAAUAAAUAC